This 476-nucleotide long non-coding RNA is filed under the name Cyanistes caeruleus (blue tit). Its description in RNAcentral is "lncRNA (ENSCCEG00000011019.1)". Lineage: Eukaryota; Metazoa; Chordata; Aves; Passeriformes; Paridae. The record is from RNAcentral.
UUCCAGUCUGUGCUUACAGGAUGCCUGGGAAGUGUUUGACAGAGCUGCACUGAGCUUGGCAACUUCCCCUGGCUUCUCACAUAAGAACAGCAAAUAUUUCAGGCCCUGACCUUUCUACAAAGAUUAUCAAAUGAUCUCUCUGCUAUGGUAUCCUGCAGUACUGUGAGAUGGUGACAUGGUAUACUUCAUCCCAAACCAUGCAGCAUAUGAAGCACCAUCUAUCCCGAUCCAUGUGUGUGGGCAAUACACAAUGUGACUCAGGAACACAAAACUUAUUCAACAAAGUGGUCCUUCAGUGUUCUGUGGGCAUCUGGCAGCUCCCUUCCGCUCCUGCUGAAACCCUAAGUACUAUCAAGCGAAGAGCAGAGCAGCCUCUUCCUGCAUUUCCCACCAGUUUAUUAUUCUUCUCUGGCUUGUGGAGAGUCCUCAAGGUUAACACCUGGAAAGUCCUAUGUUCAGAAGAGAACAGGCAGUGA